UUCAUUCGUUCUGUUAGGCUUUCUGUGCUCUUACACGUGCAGGCACUGAGGUGAUGCUGGGGUUGCAGUGAGCUGUCAAACUAGAUGUGUCAGAAAUGAGAAAGGAGAUGAGAGAACAAAUUAGAAUACAGAGUGAUCGACACUUUGAUGAAGGAAGUAAGUGGAGCCUGGGGUCCAUGAAACCCACUGCCAAACCAACCCAGACAGAGACAAAGUAUCCCUAUGUUUCCCAGGCUGAUCUCAAACUCCUGGCCUGAACUGACCUCCUGCCUCAACCGACCUCCUGCCUCAACCUCCAAAGCACUGGGAUUAACAGCAUAAGCCACUGUGCCCAGCCUAAUUUUUACUUUUCAACUUUGUACGUUGCGGUGUUUUUAAUACCCCUGCCAAGACCACAGUUUUAGGUAAACCGCCAUCCUGCCUAUACCCAUGUCCCUGUUCCCUUUCCUAGCUGUGUGACCUUGGGAAGUUCCCUUGCCUCACGAGGCAUCAACUUGCUCUUCUGUUAAACGGGGACAACAGAACCCCGUGAGACACUCUGACAAUCACAUGAAGCUAUGUGAAUAAAACAUGGGCCUAGUACAU
Molecule: long non-coding RNA, 585 nt
Filed under: Homo sapiens (human)
Lineage: Eukaryota; Metazoa; Chordata; Mammalia; Primates; Hominidae
Description: non-protein coding LINC01570:5
Source: RNAcentral